GCACAUUUCUCUCCUCCCCGGCCCACACGCACCUUUCCCGCCGCCGCCAAGGAAGGUGCACAUGGGGCGAGUAAAAGGCCAGCGUCUUUCCUCCCUCGCCCCGUGGGCAGCUUUCCUGCCGCUGCUGCCGAGGAAGACAGCGGGAAAGGUGUGUGCUGGUCAAGAGAGAGAAAGGCACACGCCUUUUCCUAGCCCCGUGGGCAGCUUGCUGCUGCCAAGGAAGAUGCACACAGGGCAAGAAAAAGGCCUGCGCCUUUCCUCCCUCGCCCCAUGGGCAGUUUUCCCGCUGCCGCUGCCGAGGAAGACGCACAUAGGGUGAGGAAAAGGCCUGCACCUUUCCUCCCUCGCCCCACGGGCAGCUUUCCCGCCGCCGCCAAGGAAGAUGCACAGGGGUGAGUAAAAGGCUUGGACCUUUCCUCCCUCGCCCCGUGGGCAGCUUUCCCACCGCUGCCACUAAGGAAGGCAGCGGGAAAGGUGCAUGCUGGGAGAGAGAGGAGAGAAAGGUGCAAGCCUUUUCCUCGCCCCGCGGGCAGCUUUCCCGCUGCUGCCGCCGAGGAAGAUACACACAGGGAGAAGCCUAAGGAAGGAAGAGAAAAGAAGGCUGAAGCAGCUUUGUUUUCGCCUCAUAAGGCAGCAGCAGCACUGGGAGCACGUAUGCACGUGCUUUAGAGGUGAGGAGGUGACAGAGACUCUACUUGCAAACAACACAAAUAUAGCACCUCUACUUCAUGGAUUUUCACUUUUCACAGGUGGUCCUGGAACAUAACCCCCGAGAUAAGUGAGGGAACACUGUACGCUGCUUUGAAUCUCACCCACAGGAGAUAAGUG
This 828-nucleotide long non-coding RNA is filed under the name Anolis carolinensis (green anole). Its description in RNAcentral is "lncRNA (ENSACAG00000044986.1)". Lineage: Eukaryota; Metazoa; Chordata; Lepidosauria; Squamata; Anolidae. The record is from RNAcentral.